GUUUCUACGCGUCCUCGUCUUUAUGAAAACGCGUGUUUACCACUUGUAAAGACAAAGAUGUACACUCGGUGUCCACUUUAUUAGGUACACCGGGAAUAUGCAUUGCAAUCCAAUACAACAGCGCUGCCAUGAAUCGGUUUCGAUUGACACCGUUUGAGAGCUCUCCAUCUGAAGCAGAGCAGCACAAAGAGCUGCUGAAGUGUCCCACGCUCAAAGAACACUGUGAAGACGGCGUCGAAGAUUUAUCGUAUCACAGCCAGGCAGAGGAGUGGAGCGCAGGGAAGUGGAGUGCUAACAGUAAAUCUGGAGGCCUGGAGGAGGAACAGGAGGAGCGUGCCCGGAGAAGCGGCUCAGUGGGCCGGACUUUGCGGGGCCAUAGUUGGCGCUCAUAUCUGGCAUCUGGAGCUCAUUGAAUCCAUGGCAACCAGAAGUUGUGGAAUUGUAAACAGACUGGAGAGACUGUUUUUCCUCCGCCACAACGCACAAGAGCCCAACAUGGCCGCCAGCCGACUCACAUGUUUAGGUCAAAGGGAGCAAACGAGGCAAAAUACACAUACACACAAAGUCACGUGCAGACAAAAUGCCUUUUCCUUUGCGCAGUGUGUGUGUAAUAUGCAACUUUCUGCAGCAUAAAUAAUUCAUUCAAGGCAUUUAUUUCAGAUAUUUUGAGUUAAAAAAGUGGAUAAAGCAUAUUAAUAAAUGGUUACAAUACUUUAA
Long non-coding RNA from Cyclopterus lumpus (lumpfish), 717 nucleotides. RefSeq lists it as uncharacterized. Lineage: Eukaryota; Metazoa; Chordata; Actinopteri; Perciformes; Cyclopteridae. The transcript has 2 exons. The record is from RefSeq and is a predicted model, not a curated record.